This 70-nucleotide non-coding RNA is filed under the name Schistosoma mansoni. Lineage: Eukaryota; Metazoa; Platyhelminthes; Trematoda; Strigeidida; Schistosomatidae. The record is from RNAcentral.
CGAUUAACUCCGCCUGUAGCUCUUAUAGAGUUACUGUCGGUCCCAAGCCCGGGUAAAAGAGGAGGGUUGG